Molecule: non-coding RNA, 141 nt
Organism: Cucurbitaria berberidis CBS 394.84
Lineage: Eukaryota; Fungi; Ascomycota; Dothideomycetes; Pleosporales; Cucurbitariaceae
Source: the annotation of a RefSeq genome assembly
GGGCACUUGGUCUAGGGGUAUGAUUGUAAGCAUUGUCUACUACCCACUCAACAUUAUAAAUUUCUAACAGUCUUUAGUUCGCUUCGCACAACUUAAAUGUGAGCAUGUGAAAGGUCGUGGGUUCAAUUCCCACAGUGUCCA